GGGGAUUUAGCUCAGUGGUAGAGCACUUGCCUAGCAAAUGCAAGGUUCAGUCCCCA
RNAcentral lists this transfer RNA (56 nucleotides) under Rattus norvegicus (Norway rat). The record is from Rfam by way of RNAcentral. Lineage: Eukaryota; Metazoa; Chordata; Mammalia; Rodentia; Muridae.